RNAcentral lists this long non-coding RNA (633 nucleotides) under Marmota monax (woodchuck). The record is from RNAcentral. Lineage: Eukaryota; Metazoa; Chordata; Mammalia; Rodentia; Sciuridae.
GGAUGGUUGAAAAAGUUGGGUGGCAGUCCAGCAGUGAGUUGUAAUAAGAAUAUCAAAUUUAUAUAUACCACUAGAUGCCAAGUCUGCUGCACAUUAUAAUCACCUGGGGGAGAUAUUAUAAGACCCAAUGCCUUGGCUUCUAUGCAAGUUACAUCAGAAUUUCUGUGAGUGGAAUUCAGAUAUCAGCAGUUUUUGAAGUUCCAGGUGAUUUCAAUAGGAAGCUAAGUUUGAGAAGAAAGAAAUUGUGAAAAAUCAGUAUCUUAUGCUGGGAAACACUGAAUACUAAUGCUAAUGUAUGGUCCUCAAAACAAGACAAAACAAAACAAAACAAAACAUAAAGAAACUCCCAACUUAAAUUUCAGUGUUUUCAAUUCUGGAAUGUUGUCAUAUUAAACAACAGUGACAGUCUUAGACCAGUUUAUAGAUCAUUUGGCUUAUGUGUUAAUUCAACUUACUGAUACCAUCACUCAAAAUAAAAAAUUUUGAGGAAAAUCAAAAGGAUUGGGCUAUGUGUUAGUAAGAUUUCCUGGGUUUUCUGCUUCUGGAUUCUGAGCAUGGAAGACUCCUUAGUACUUUUUUUUUUUUUUUUGUAGUAGCUUGUUCUUCUUUUUGUAAUUACAAUCUAAAAAUCAC